GAAAUGCGAUAAGUAAUGUGAAUUGCAGAAUUCCGUGAAUCAUCGAAUCUUUGAACGCACAUUGCGCCCUCUGGUACUCCGGGGGGUACGCCUGUCCGAGCGUCAUUUCAGCCCUCAAGCCCGGCUUGCGUGAUGGGCGCCUGUCACCCCAGGGGACACGCCUGAAAGGCAGUGGCGGCGUCGAGGUUGUCCGAUUUGCCUGAGUGUAUGGGGCUCCGUCACACGCUCACGGCGAGGACCGGCGCCAGUCCAAUCGUCAUUUCUCUCCGGUUGACCUCGGAUCAGGUGGGGAUACCCGCUGAACUUAA
This 308-nucleotide unclassified non-coding RNA is filed under the name uncultured Eurotiomycetes. RNAcentral describes it as "sequence contains ITS1". The stretch from base 1 to 105 matches the Rfam family "5.8S ribosomal RNA", at positions 50 to 154 of the family's 154-position model. Lineage: Eukaryota; Fungi; Ascomycota; Eurotiomycetes. The record is from RNAcentral.